AGGGAUGCUAUCGGCAGCCGGUCCCCGGGGGGAGAGGGAUGAGGUCAGGAGCCGGUACUCGGGGGCGGGGGCGAGAGGGGAGGAUGCUGUCCGGAGCCGGUCCUUGGGGGGAGAGGGAUGCUGUCCGGAGCCGGUCCUUGGGGGGAGAGGGAUGCUGUCCGGAGCCGGUCCUUGGGGGGGAGAGGGAUGCUGUCCGGAGCCGGUCCCUGGGAGAGGGGGAUAUCCCGGAGCCGGUCCUGGAGGUAGGGAGGUGAUGUUUAGAGUCGGUCCCGGGAGGAGGGGGAUGCUGUCCGGAGCCGGUCCCGGGGGGAGGGGGACGAGGUCCGGAGCCGGUCCCGGGAGGAGGGGGAUGAGGCCCAGAGGUGGUCCUGGGGGAAGGGGACGAGGUCCAGAGUCGGUCCCGGGGGAGGCCCCACCCAGCCCGGCGGAGGGACCCUCCUUUCUGUCAGAAAUGCGUCCGCUCCGGACCACCCAGCUGAGAUGGGGCGGGAUGCGGAGGGAUGGAGGGAUGGAGGGAGGGGAGAAGGGAGGGAGGGAGCGCGGGCCGGGUCCCCCCUGCCCAGCCCGGGCCCUCCACCCUCUGGCUCCCGCGGGGGGAGAGGGGGAGGAGGAGGAGGAGGAGGAGGAGGAGGAGGAGGAGGAGGAGGGUCCUUCCCCCCUCCCCGCCCCCGCAGCCCCCGCAGCCCCCGCAGCCCACCUGUGCGGACAGGUGGGGGGAUCCCGUGCCCCGCCGCCGGCCCCGGCCCGUCCCUGCCCCUCUCCCGGGGCUGGGCCGGUCCCCUUACCUCGGGGGUCCGGACCCGACCCCGACCCCGCCGCCGCAGCCGGGGCCCAGCGGGAAACUUCCCAGCCCCGCUCCGCUCCAACGCAUGGCCGAUGGCCGCGCCCCAGGCACGCCCGCUGCCUCCAGGGGGG
This 915-nucleotide long non-coding RNA is filed under the name Ornithorhynchus anatinus (platypus). RNAcentral describes it as "lncRNA (ENSOANG00000048387.1)". The record is from RNAcentral. Lineage: Eukaryota; Metazoa; Chordata; Mammalia; Monotremata; Ornithorhynchidae.